CCUACGGGAGGCUGCAGUGAGGAAUAUUGGUCAAUGGACGAGAGUCUGAAGCAGCGAAGUAGCGUGAAGGAUGACUGCCCUAUGGGUUGUAAACGUCUUUUAUAUGGGAAUAAAAUGUUCCAUGUGUGGGAUUUUGUAGGUACCAUAUGAAUAAGGAUCGGCUAACCCCGUGCCAGUAGCCGCGGUAAUACGGAGGAUACGAGCGUUAUCCGGAUUUAUUGGGUUUAAAGGGAGCGUACGUGGAUUGUUAAGUGAGUUGUGAAAGUUUGCGGCUCAACCGUAAAAUUGCAGUUGAUACUGGCAGUCUUGAGUACAGUAGAGGUGAGCGGAAUUCGUGGUGUAGCGGUGAAAUGCUUAGAUAUCGCGAAGAACUCCUAUUGCGAAGGCAGCUCACUGGACUGCAACUGACACUGAGGCGCGAAAGUGUGGGUAUCAAACAGGAUUAGAUACCCGAGUAGUC
Molecule: ribosomal RNA, 460 nt
Filed under: uncultured bacterium
Lineage: Bacteria
Description: partial 16S ribosomal RNA
Rfam family: Bacterial small subunit ribosomal RNA
Source: RNAcentral